UGCGGAAGGAUCAUUGUCGAAACCUGCCCAGCAGAACGACCAGCGAACAAGUUAAAAUUCUCGUGUGCUGGGAAUAUGUGGACGGCCUUGUGCUCCCACCCUUCCCGUGCGCGAGCCGUUGUGGCUGCUCCCCGUGGGAUCCUCCUCGGCAUUUAAAUGAACCCCGGCGCGGAAAGCGUCAAGGAAUAUAAACUACAUAUGAGCAUCCACCUGCUGCCCGGUUAGCCGGUGCAUGGGUGCGGUGCCAUGUCAUAACAUUAAACGACUCUCGGCAACGGAUAUCUCGGCUCUCGCAUCGAUGAAGAACGUAGCGAAAUGCGAUACUUGGUGUGAAUUGCAGAAUCCCGUGAACCAUCGAGUCUUUGAACGCAAGUUGCGCCCGAGGCCUUUGGCUGAGGGCACGUCUGCCUGGGCGUCACGCAUCGCAACCCCCACCCACUUAUGUGGGGGAGGAAGUUGGCUUCCCGUGCCUCACCGGGCGCGGUUGGCCUAAAUUUGGAGCCUAAGGCAUUGAGUUGUCGCGGCGAUAGGUGGUGAACAAGGUCUCGGCCGUGCAAACAACCAGUCGCGCAUCCCUCUGUCACUAAGGCUCGUAGGACCCGUUGAUGUUGCCUUGUUGCGACACAAACGUUGCGACCCCAGGUCAGGCGGGG
This 653-nucleotide ribosomal RNA is filed under the name Engellaria obtusa. Its description in RNAcentral is "eukaryotic LSU rRNA". The stretch from base 264 to 418 matches the Rfam family "5.8S ribosomal RNA". Lineage: Eukaryota; Viridiplantae; Streptophyta; Magnoliopsida; Caryophyllales; Caryophyllaceae. The record is from RNAcentral.